RNAcentral lists this long non-coding RNA (2336 nucleotides) under Gossypium raimondii (Peruvian cotton). RNAcentral's name for it is "long non-coding RNA (GRAI_LNC001747)". The record is from RNAcentral. Lineage: Eukaryota; Viridiplantae; Streptophyta; Magnoliopsida; Malvales; Malvaceae.
UUGAGAAUUUAUACAUAUCUUGUCAAGAGGAGAUCGAUUCUUUGGAUAGAAAUUCUUGAAGGGUCAUUGUUUGGAGUUGGUUUGAGCUUAUCUCUUCUAGCAUAUAAGGUAUUUAUAGAUAUGGAAUAAAGGGAUGUUUCUCUUUAGGAUUAUGUAUGAGCAUCACUCAUCAAUGAUUUGAGUAAAAAUCAUUGAAUCAAAUCAUGGAAUGAUCAUAUACAUAUAUAUAAUAGUUAUAUAAAUUAUAAAGUCAAACAUUCAAAUGUCUCAUUUAUUUUUUAGAGAAAAGAAAAUGAGAAAGAUACUAUACCUUAAGCUUAUCAAUAUACUAUAUAUGCAAUUAAUAUCCUUUGUAUUUACCCAAUUUCAAGCACUUCCUUUGAAAGAAUCUCUCAACUAGGAUAAGUCUCCUUCAACCUAUAUUUCUUUAAUAAGAAAUUAGCUAGAAAGUAUGGGAUUUAGUAAUGAAUUAGAUGAUAUUAUUUGACUCACUCAAUAUAAUUUUUUUUAAUAUAUUUAUUGAAGCAAGUUGAAUAAUAUUAAAGAGGUAAAUACUAAUUACGAAUUUACUGUUCUAUGAUCGAAGCUAAAUCUUUAAUCAUAUCGAUAUCAUGAAACUCGUGAACUUCCGUUUUGGCCGGCUUUAAUUCUAGAGGUAAAAUAGAAGAUUUUCUCAUGGUAGGGUUGAGCAACCAAAGGUAGAAUGAUUAAAUGGGACAUAUAUAUGAGAACUGUUUGGGAGAAAAGAAAAAAGAAAAAAAAAAAAAGGAAAGAAGAAUACAUAAAAAUUUUCCCAUCAUUUUCUUUUCUCUUGUAUAUAAUAUGAAAAUUACUUCCCAUUUAUCCUAAAUGUUUAAACAAGUUUGUAAGAAUUGUAACAUGUCAUAAAAAAAAUUGAAAGAAAGGAAAAUUUUUGUUGUUCUUACAUUUGUUUCUUCUUCAUGGCUUGUUUAUUGUUGUGCAUCCAUACUUUGAAAACUUGUCGCUUAACUCCCACUUGUGAACAAAACAUCUGCAAUUCAUGUUCAUCUUGUUUUUGGAUUCUCCAUCCCAAUGUCUCAGCAAAUUCCAUCAUUUUUUCCUUUUGAUCUUGACUGAACUUUGUUCUAAAUCUCUUCUUUGAUGAUUGUGGAACAUUAAUAAGUUCAUCAUGUCUCAGAUCUUCACUCGAAGACUCCUCCGCCGUGCCACCACCGCCGCCGCCAAAGCUCAUCAUAACCGGCGCCGGAAACCUUACUGGUUGUUGUUGAAGAUGAACAACACCGUUCCUCCUUGGUAAUGGUGGUAGAUACUGUGAUUCACCAUUGAUUUCUUUCCUAUGAAAAUUCCUAUGGCAUUCACAAGCUGCACAUUUCAUGGCUGCCAUGGUACCUUCUUCUCCACUUGGCAUGAACUCACCACAACCAUCCACAACGUGUCCUCCCAUGGUGGCUGCAUGGUUCUUUAAACACUCCCUAUACCUAACCACGAGGCUUGAACCUACUGGUUCAGGCUCAGCACCAGCAACUGAACCAGGUGGCAGUGGAUCUAUAUUAGGGUAAUGGUUUAGGGUUUGGGGUGGCCUUGGAUUUGGGGUUUGUGAGCUUGACAAUGGCAAUGGCAACCCCAUUUCCUUAUCUUGGUCUCUCAGUUCCAUUUUUUGAUAUAUAUUUUUUUCUAAUGUAAAACCUAGAUCUAAGUCUUUGAUCCCAACAAACCCUUUAUUAAAAACUAAACAAAACUAUACUAUACUAUUAACUUAAAUAUGUUUUUUUUCAAACUCAUCAUCAUCAUUAUCAUGGAAAAAUAGAGUAUAAUCAGCAGCUAAUUAACCCCCUUCCCCCAAAAUUUAUGGUCUUUCCCCCCCCCCCACUUUUUAGUGCUAAACCCACCAAUUUUCAUUACCCUAAGAAACCUUCCAUUUUUCAUCAAGACGUAAGCAAAGUGUAAAGAGACAAAUGAAAAAUUUUGAGAUUUAAUGUUAUAAAAAUAAAGAGAAAAAAAAUGGGGCCCUUGUAGCUUGGUUCUAUGGUAGUAAAAGACCAAAACAAUGCAAAGGAACAAGUUUUUUUUUUUUAAAGCAUAGAUUAAGGUUGGGGAAACUCAAAAGCUUUGGAGCUUAAAAACUAUAAGCAUUAAGCAAAGGAAAUAUACAUACAUACACACACAUAUAUAUAUGUUUCUUACUUACCCAUCUAAGCUUGUAAAAUCCAUCUAUGUAAGGAACAGGUGAUGGACCACUAGAGAUUACUGGUGAAACUCAACUCAGUAUUUUUUUUCUUGCAGAACAACCGACAAGACCAUGUUAUGUUUCUCUCUUUCUCUCUCAGAGGCUGUACAUUGGUCCAGCUCUUAAU